UUUCCUGCUUUAAACUUCUCAACAGUAAAAUUAUGGGCAUGGCCGCUGUGCCUGCUCAUUCCUGCUCAGUAAAAAUUACCAAGUUUGUUGGGACUUGCGAUAAUUCAGUGGUUAUAAGGACUUGUUCUUCAGAGGGGGACCCAGGUUUGAUUCCCAGCAGUUACAUGUAUGGUAGCUUAUAAUGUCUGUAACUCCAGUUUCAGUGGACUUAAUCUAAUGCUUUAUUGUGCCAUGACAUUGGUGGGCACUAGGUAUACAUGUGGUACAUAUACAUACAUGUACUCAAAAUACUCAUGCAUGUUGAAUCGAAUAAAAUAAAUAAAUCUGAAAUGAUAGUUUACAGUAUGGUUAAGAUUGGUUCUUGCUUCCAAAAAAGAUAAGAAUUUUAUUGAAGAUUUUCUAGUUCAUUGAUACAUAGAGUAGAGCUACUUUAGUACUGCUAAAAGUUUUUCAGUGAAAUCAAAUCUUUACUUAAACUUUUAUCUUUUUUUUUUAAAGAUUUAUUUAUUUAUUUAUUAUAUGUAAGUACAUUGUAGCUGUCUUCAGACACUCCAGAAGAGGGGGUCAGAUCUUGUUACGGAUGGUUAUGAGCCACCAUGUGGUUGCUGGGAUUUGAACUCUGCACCUUCUGAAGAGCAGUCGGGUGCUCUAACCCACUGAGCCAUCUCACCAGCCCCAACUUUUAUCUUUAUUAUGGGUUAUGGGCAUUUUGAUGGCAUGUAUAUAGCUGUAUUAUAUGUGCCUCUGCUGCCCAUCUGGGCCUGAGAGGCAGUUGGAUCUCUUGGAACUGGAGUUGGACAUAGUGCUGAGCUGCCUUAGAUGGGUGCAAGGAAUCGAACCCAUGUCCUUAACCAAUGCUGUUAACCUCUGAGCUCUCUCUCUAGCCACUCUUUAAAAUCUUUCUCAGCCGUGUAAAUAUGAACAUUUUUAUUUCAAUUUUAAUAGGUGGAGAGAGAAGGAAUACUAAUACAGUGAGAUGAUAUAAUUUAGAAAGAUGACUUUAUGUUGUCUACGGCCAUAACAUUUGAAGUCAUAUACUUUUAUCAAAUCUAAGGUGCUACUGAUUUUGUACCAUUACUUAUGUAUAAGUAAGAGAAAAAUGUCAAAUAUUAAGGCUUUACUUGAGGUUCUGCUUUCAUACAAAUGAAAAUAGAGAUAAUAUAUACACCUUGAAUUGAAGAAAAUGCAACUAUUCUCCCCCAAUGUCUUGGAUUGCUUUAAAAAUCUAUAUACAUAUAUAAUUUCAUAUUCCUGAUCUAUUUUGUGUUUGGGUGUACGUGUCCACAUUCACAUGCUUGGUACAGUGCCCAUGUAGCAAUCAGAAGACAACCAGAGAGUUGGUUUUCUCCUUCUACUAUAUAGGUCCUGGGGAUUGAACUUGGGGACAAAUACCUUUUCCAUUAAAGUUCUCGUGCCAACCCACUUGAACUAAUUUUCAGGUGAUUUUACCUUAUAGGAAGGAAUGCUUGCUUUUAUGCUUUCUUCAUGUGUUUUUGUUUGAAGGUGUGUAUCAAUAAUUAUUUAGACUUAUUUUUAUAAUAUAACAGUAAGUUAGUGUACAAAAUAAAAAUGUUAUUUAACAAAAGAAACCAUGCUGUAAUGUGGUUUACCUAUAAAAGACCAACUUCUUUUUCAGUAUUCUGAUGCCUCCACCCAAAUCUGAGAAAGAAAAAGAUCCUUAAGCACCCAUUUAUUUACCUGAGUGCAGAGGGUGAGGCUCAAGUUCAUGUUUGUGCAGCAGGCACUUUACCAAGUGAGCUGACUCCCAAGUUCUAUUGUCUGUUCUUUUAGAACUAAAUUUAUCUGUAAAACCCUGGGUAGAAAGUUACAGUAGUUCAGUUCUGUUAGAAACGCAGACUUGAAAAUAGGGGGCACUUAUGAGUUUAGAGUAGCAUUCUUAACCUGUGGGUGGAAACUCCUUUAAGGGUCUAAUGACCUUUUCACAGGGGUUGCCUAAGACUAUCCAAAAAUAGAUAUUUACAUUAUGAUUCACAACAGUAGCAAAACUACACUUAGGAAGUUGCAAUGAAAAUAAUUUUCUGGUUGGGGAACAUCACAACACGAGGAACUGUGUUAAAGGGCCACAGCAUUAGGAAGGCUGAGAGCCACUGGUUUAGAGGAAAGAAAAAAAUAUGAAAGAAAGAAAACUGGGCAUGGUGCUAUAAGCUUGUAAUCCCAGCACUUGAGAGAGAAAAAGCCUGGAGGAGCAGAAGUUAGGAUCAUCCGCAGAUGCUUAGACUGUCCAGGCCUGAGAUACUAAACUCCCGUCUCAAAACCUUUUUUUAAAACAUUGUGUCACAUCUUAAACUCUGAGAACUGGACUUCAUUGUCUAAUAUUACCUUAAAUGUUUAAUAUAAUAGUUUAAGUUGGUUACUUAAACAUUGAAAGAUGAAAGUAUAUUCUAAAAUCUAAUCAUUAAAUAAUUAAUUAGUGGUCAGCUAUAUGUUGUAACUAUUACAAAAGAUACAAUAUAAUAGUUAACACAUUGAUUUCAUUUUUGUAUGUGUAUAGAGCUUAAAAUGUACAGGGAAGAUGGAUGGAUAAUUCUUAGCUUCAUCACCAAGAAGAAAAGAAAGCCGGGCGUGGGGGCGCACGCCUUUAAUCCCAGCACUCGGAAGGCAGGGGCAGGCAGAUUUCUGAGUUCGAGGCCAGCCUGGUCUACAAAGUGAGUUCCAGGACAGCCAGGGCUAUAUAGAGGAACCCUGUCUCAAAAACCCAAACCAAACC
RNAcentral lists this long non-coding RNA (2728 nucleotides) under Mus musculus (house mouse). Its description in RNAcentral is "long non-coding RNA chr2:5989692-5992420". Lineage: Eukaryota; Metazoa; Chordata; Mammalia; Rodentia; Muridae. The record is from RNAcentral.